GACGAACGCUGGCGGCGUGCUUAACACAUGCAAGUCGAACGGAAAGGCCCUGCUUUUGUGCGGUGCUCGAGUGGCGAAGGGGUGCGUGUCACGUGAGUAACCUGCCCUUGUCUUUGGGGUAACUUCAGGAAACUGGGGCUAAUACCGGAUAGGAGCUCCUGCUGCAUGGUGGGGGUUGGAAAGUUUCGGCGGUGGGGGAUGGACUCGCGGCUUAUGAGCUUGUUGGUGGGGUAGUGGCUUACCCAGCCUUUGACGGGUAGCCGGCUCGGGAGGGUGACCGGGCACCUGGGGACUGCGGUACGGCCCAGACUGGAACGGGAGGCAGCAGUGGGGAAUAUGGCACAAUGGGCGGACGUCUGAUGCAGCAACGCUGGGGGCGUGAAGACGGCCUUUGGGUUAUAAAACGCUGUCGCCUGUGACGAAGCGUUAGUGACGGUAAUGGGUAAAGAAGCACCGGCUAACUACGUG
This 468-nucleotide ribosomal RNA is filed under the name uncultured bacterium. Its description in RNAcentral is "partial 16S ribosomal RNA". It matches the Rfam family "Bacterial small subunit ribosomal RNA", at positions 28 to 507 of the family's 1533-position model. The record is from RNAcentral.